This 431-nucleotide ribosomal RNA is filed under the name uncultured Lutibacterium sp. RNAcentral's name for it is "bacterial SSU rRNA". It matches the Rfam family "Bacterial small subunit ribosomal RNA", at positions 29 to 505 of the family's 1533-position model. The record is from RNAcentral. Lineage: Bacteria; Pseudomonadati; Pseudomonadota; Alphaproteobacteria; Sphingomonadales; Sphingomonadaceae.
AACGAAAGCUGGCGGCAUGCCUAACACAUGCAAGUCGAACGAACCCUUCGGGGUGAGUGGCGCACGGGUGCGUAACGCGUGGGAACCUGCCCUUAGGUUCGGAAUAACAGUGAGAAAUCGCUGCUAAUACCGGAUAAUGUCUUCAGACCAAAGAUUUAUCGCCUUUGGAUGGGCCCGCGUUGGAUUAGCUAGUUGGUGGGGUAAAGGCCUACCAAGGCGACGAUCUAUAGCUGGUCUUAGAGGAUGAUCAGCCACACUGGGACUGAGACACGGCCCAGACUCCUACGGGAGGCAGCAGUGGGGAAUAUUGGACAAUGGGCGCAAGCCUGAUCCAGCAAUGCCGCGUGAGUGAUGAAGGCCUUAGGGUUGUAAAGCUCUUUUACCAGGGAUGAUAAUGACAGUACCUGGAGAAUAAGCUCCGGCUAACUCCG